RNAcentral lists this ribosomal RNA (1485 nucleotides) under Lactobacillus sp. QAULB01. RNAcentral's name for it is "bacterial SSU rRNA". It matches the Rfam family "Bacterial small subunit ribosomal RNA". Lineage: Bacteria; Bacillati; Bacillota; Bacilli; Lactobacillales; Lactobacillaceae. The record is from RNAcentral.
CCAGUGAGGCGGCCUAAUACAUCGAACUUGAGCGAGCUGAAUUAGCGAUGCAUUUGGGUUCAUUUGCUGAAUGGUAGCGCCGGAUGGGUGAGUAACACGUGGGCAAUCUGCCCUUAAGACUGGGAUACCACUUGGAAACAGGUGCUAAUACCGGAUAUCAACACUAAUCGCAUGAUUCAAAUGUGAAAGACAGCCCAAGGUGUCACUCUAGGAUGAUCCCGCGGUGCAUUAGCUAGUUGGUGAGGUAAAGGCUCACCAAGGCAAUGAUGCAUAGCCGACCUGAGAGGGUGAUCGGCCACAUUGGGACUGAGACACGGCCCAAACUCCUACGGGAGGCAGCAGUAGGGAAUCUUCGGCAAUGGACGAAAGUCUGAUGGAGCAACGCCGCGUGAGUGAAGAAGGUUUUCGGAUCGUAAAGCUCUGUUGGUGGAGAAGAAGGAUGGUGGGAGUAACUGGUUCUUCAUUGGCGGUAAUCAACCAGAAAGGCACGGCUAACUACGUGCCAGCAGCCGCGGUAAUACGUAGGGUGCAAGCGUUGUUCGGAUUUAUUGGGCGUAAAGCGAGCGCAGGCGGAAUGUUAAGUCUGAUGUGAAAGGCCACGGCUCAACCGUGGAACUGCAUGGGAAACUGGGAGUCUUGAGUGCAGAAGAGGAGAGUGGAAUUCCAUGUGUAGCGGUGGAAUGCGUAGAUAUAUGGAGGAACACCAGUGGCGAAGGCGGCUCUCUGGUCUGCAACUGACGCUGAGGCUCGAAAGCAUGGGUAGCAAACAGGAUUAAAUACCCUGGUAGUCCAUGCCGUAAACGAUGAGGGCUAAGUGUUGGAGACUUUCCGUCCCUCAAUGCCGCAUCAAACGCAUUAAGCUCUCCCCCGGGGGAGUACGACCGCAGGGUUGAAACUCAAAGGAUUUGAGGGGGGCCCGCACAAGCGGGGGAGCAUGGGUUUUAUUUCAAAGCAACGCAAAAAACUUUACCGGGUUUUGACAUCCUGGGCUACCCCUAAAAAUAGGAGUUUCCCUUCGGGGACGCAUAGACGGGGGGUGCGUGUUUGUCCUCAUCUCGUGUCGUGAGAUGUUGGGUUAAGUCCCGCAACGAGCGCACCCCUUGUUUUUAUUUGCCAUCUUUAAUUUGGGCACUCUAGAGAGACUGCCGGUGACAAACCGGAAGAAGGUGGGGAUGACGUCAACUCAUCGUGCCCCUUAUGACGUGGUCUACACACGUGCUACAGUGGGCAGUACAACGAGACGCGAACCCGCGAGGUUAAGCGUAUCUCUUAAAGCUUCUCUCAUUUCAGAGUGCGGUCUGCAUCUCGCCUGCGCGAAGCUAGAAUCUCUAGUAAUCGCGGAUCAACAUCGGGGGGAAAAACUCUCUCCCGGGGCUUUUGCCCCCCCGCCCCCUCACCCCAGGGGAAUUGGGGUAUGCCCAAAGUCGGUGGGAUAACCUUUGGAGGAGGCUUCCUCCUGAGGGAACGCAGAUGGAUGGGGUGAGC